RNAcentral lists this ribosomal RNA (769 nucleotides) under uncultured Alphaproteobacteria bacterium. RNAcentral's name for it is "bacterial SSU rRNA". It matches the Rfam family "Bacterial small subunit ribosomal RNA", at positions 29 to 798 of the family's 1533-position model. Lineage: Bacteria; Pseudomonadati; Pseudomonadota; Alphaproteobacteria. The record is from RNAcentral.
ACGUCGCUGGCGGCCGCCUAACACCUGCAAGUCUGUAGACGCGAUGUGAGCAAGUGACUAGGAGUUGGCAGCACUGGGUGACGUAUAAUGUGAGGAAGUCUGCCUUUUGGUUCGGGAAUUAACACGGUGGAAACUUGAUGCGUAAUAUCCGGAUAUAGCCUUCACAGGGAAAGUGUUAAUGCCGAAAGAUGAGCCCGACACUUGAUAUAGACUACGUUAGGUACAUGGUGAAUGGCUAUACCUAAGGCAACGCAUUCAAGUACCCUGUAUCGUUAGAAGGAAGUACCAGCCACAUUGGGACUGACACACGGCCCAAACUCCUACGGGAGGCAGCAGUGGGGAAUCUUGCACAAUGGGGGAAACCCUGAUGCAGCGAUGCCGUCGUUGAGUGAAGAAGGCCCUUGGGUUGUAAAACUCUUUCGUCGAGGAAGAAAAUGACUGUACUCGAAUAAGAAGGUCCGGCUAACAUUCGUGCCAGCAGCCGCGGUAAUACGAAGGGACCUAGUCGUAGUUCGGAAUUACUGGCGCUUAAAGAGUUCGUAGGUGGUUAAAAAAGUUGAUGGUGAAAUCCCAAGGCUCAACCUUGGAACUGCCAUCAAAACUUUUAUAGCUAGAGUAUGAUAGAGGAAAGCGGAAUUUCUAGUGUAGAGGUGAAAUUCGUAGAUAUCAGAAAGAACACCAAGAAGCGAAGGCAGCUUUCUGGAUCAUUACUGACACUGAGGAACGAAAGCAUGGGUAGCGAAGAGGAUUAGAUACCCUCGUUACUCAU